This is a non-coding RNA of Monodelphis domestica (gray short-tailed opossum), 746 nucleotides long. NCBI's taxonomy places the organism in Eukaryota, Metazoa, Chordata, Mammalia, Didelphimorphia, Didelphidae. The record is from RefSeq and is a predicted model, not a curated record.
AAAGUGACAUUAAUUAUAUUCUUUUAAUAAAUUGGAAGCUCUUUGCAAGAUUGUAAUUCAUCUAAACUCCUUGCACUCUGGCUUCAUUCCAUCUGUUUAUACCCGUUGCUCUGGAAAAUACUACAAAAGAGAAAAGUAAACAGCAUUUAGCCCAGAAGGCGGUUUCAGGUGUCACUGCCUAUAAAAUGUUAUUUAAGCAGCUUUUGAAGGAAUAAGAAGUCAGAGGUACCAGAGCAGGACACAAAAGACGUCUCGGGUUCUAACCUUCAAAAGAAAAAUAAAGCCUCAACAGAAAAGAAGAUGGGGUCUACAUUGUGGUUCAUUGGCUUCCUCCUUGCCCUAGGAGGGGCUCCUCUAUUCAGCAGAGAUUCUACUGGGGGUGCUCUGGCUGAUACUACGACCACCUCUCAGAAGAAUCCAACUAUGAAUCAAAGUCAAACCCAGACAAACAGCAGUCCUGCCCUCAGAGAAAUGGACGACCUCCCAUUGCUUUUCUUCAUGAUGCCUUUCUUGCUGCUUUGUGGGUUAGUGAGAUGAACUUUCUGCAGUUGGCCCAUUUGCUGCCAACUACAAAACAUGGAAAGCCCAGUGGGAAAGCAGCCUUCUGUACUGCAUCUCAAUUACUAAAGAAUGACCACCAUUAGGCUUUAAUUCAUGGUCUUUUAAUAUCUUGGUUAUUUCUGGAAGUUCAAUAACUUGAUGGUUUGUAGACAAAAUGUUCACUCAAUAAAAGUUUCUUGAAUGGA